GCGGAGCGGGGGGUGGCUUUUGGGGCUCGAGCCCCGAAUGUUUUGUCAAAAGCCCCGAAUCUUUUCAGAUCUGUAAAAUGAAUUCAUCCAGGACGCUAGGUGGCGGCACUCAGCUUUAACUCUCCGGUCCCCCACUCAACUGAAAAUGAAUAAGAGAUGCGUGUUGUUGAAGGCAAAAUAACAUUCUGAAUCUCCCCACAUUAAACGCAUUUUCAAAGUGUCUUUAUUAUUACAGUGCCUUCGUUAUUACUGUAAGUGUAUAUUUAUAGUUAUGUGAUGUAAAUACUGUUAAAUAGCGUCAACUGAUAUAUAAUAUCUGCAUGGCUAACGUCUAACUUACUGUGGUGCUCUGGUCUAGUCUGCCUCAUUGGUCAUUGAUGGAUAUACGAUUUAUAUUUUUAAAGACGUCAGAAGUAAGAAGUGCAAAUAGGAAGAGAGGAGGGUGGAGAGAGAUCACAGACAGACAGAUAGACAGAAAGAGAGAGAAACGCUUCCAUAAGCAGUUUCAAAAUGACAAUACCAGUGUUGGGUAAGUUACUCAAAAAAGUAAUUAAUUACUAGUUACUAAUUACAUCUUCAAUCAUGUAAUUAAAUUACUUUACAAAUUACUCCAAAAAGUAUUUAAUUAUUACUAAUUACUUUCUAAAUCCUAUUUAGUACAUGAUACAAGGAUAGGCUUGAAAUGGCUCGAAGAAACAAUAUAUAAAAGUACAUCAAUUAUUCUGGUCCCACUUUAGGGUUCAUUUCUCUCUAUUAAUUAACUAUUAACUACUUUUGCCUCAAUAUACUCCAACUACUGCUUAUUAAUACUAAAGUAGUUGUUUAUUUUAAGUAUUUGUAGAAAUGGG
Non-coding RNA from Misgurnus anguillicaudatus (oriental weatherfish), 848 nucleotides. NCBI's taxonomy places the organism in Eukaryota, Metazoa, Chordata, Actinopteri, Cypriniformes, Cobitidae. The record is from RefSeq and is a predicted model, not a curated record.